This 253-nucleotide ribosomal RNA is filed under the name uncultured bacterium. Its description in RNAcentral is "partial 16S ribosomal RNA". It matches the Rfam family "Bacterial small subunit ribosomal RNA", at positions 524 to 776 of the family's 1533-position model. The record is from RNAcentral.
UACGUAGGGGGCAAGCGUUGUCCGGAUUUAUUGGGCGUAAAGAGCGUGUAGGCGGCCAGGUAGGUCCGUUGUGAAAACUGGAGGCUUAACCUCCAGCUGUCGAUGGAAACCAUCUGGCUAGAGUCCGGAAGAGGAGAGUGGAAUUCCUGGUGUAGCGGUGAAAUGCGCAGAUAUCAGGAGGAACACCGGUGGCGAAGGCGGGACUCUGGGCCGAUACUGACGCUGAGGAGCGAAAGCGUGGGGAGCAAACAGG